This 497-nucleotide ribosomal RNA is filed under the name uncultured bacterium. RNAcentral describes it as "partial 16S ribosomal RNA". It matches the Rfam family "Bacterial small subunit ribosomal RNA", at positions 28 to 507 of the family's 1533-position model. The record is from RNAcentral.
GAUGAACGCUGGCGGCGUGCCUAAUACAUGCCAGUCGAGCGAACGGACGAGAAGCUUGCUUCUCUGAUGUUAGCGGCGGACGGGUGAGUAACACGUGGAUAACCUACCUAUAAGACUGGGAUAACUUCGGGAAACCGGAGCUAAUACCGGAUGAUAUUUUGAACCGCAUGGUUCAAAAGUGAAAGACGGUCUUGCUGUCACUUAUAGAUGGAUCCGCGCUGCAUUAGCUAGUUGGUAAGGUAACGGCUUACCAAGGCAACGAUGCAUAGCCGACCUGAGAGGGUGAUCGGCCACACUGGAACUGAGACACGGUCCAGACUCCUACGGGAGGCAGCAGUAGGGAAUCUUCCGCAAUGGGCGAAAGCCUGACGGAGCAACGCCGCGUGAGUGAUGAAGGUCUUCGGAUCGUAAAACUCUGUUAUCAGGGAAGAACAUAUGUGUAAGUAACUGUGCACAUCUUGACGGUACCUAAUCAGAAAGCCACGGCUAACUACGUG